RNAcentral lists this ribosomal RNA (253 nucleotides) under uncultured bacterium. RNAcentral describes it as "partial 16S ribosomal RNA". It matches the Rfam family "Bacterial small subunit ribosomal RNA", at positions 524 to 776 of the family's 1533-position model. The record is from RNAcentral.
GACGUAGGGGACGAGCGUUGUCCGGAAUCAUUGGGCGUAAAGCGCGCGUAGGCGGCCAGAUAAGUCCGGUGUGAAAGCCACAGGCUCAACCUGUGAAUGCCGCUGGAAACUGUCUGGCUAGAGUCCGGGAGGGGCGAGUGGAAUUCCUGGUGUAGCGGUGAAAUGCGCAGAUAUCAGGAGGAACACCAAUGGCGAAGGCAGCUCGCUGGAACGGAACUGACGCUGAGGCGCGAAAGCGUGGGGAGCGAACAGG